Non-coding RNA from Triticum aestivum (bread wheat), 135 nucleotides. The record is from Rfam. Lineage: Eukaryota; Viridiplantae; Streptophyta; Magnoliopsida; Poales; Poaceae.
UCAAUACUCCCUUCGUUCAAAAAUACUUGUCAUCAAAAUGGAAGAAAAGAGAUGUAUUUAGAACUAAAAUACGUCUAGAUACAUCCCUUUUUAUUCAUUUUGAUGACAAGUAUUUUCGGACGAAGGAAGUAUAUC